GUUUCCGUAGGUGAACCUGCUGCUGGAUCAUUACUCACACACCGUGAUGGUCACAUAAUAUUUUGAAAAGCUGAAACACUCAUGUAUGUGUGUUUUCGGCCCGCAACUUUGUGUUGUGUAACGGCUGACGCUGGUGUCUGUGUGUUGCUGAGCAGUUGUGACAAACGUCCGUGGCUGUGAUGAGGCAAUGCGGUAGGACCCAAAAAGGUUUAAGACUUAAUGAGCCCUGAAGAUAUGAGGGGACGCCAGCACCAUUUUUUUUAUUACAAUUUUUAAACAAAUUAUGUUCUAGUCUCCUCGGUGGAUCACUCGGCUCAUGGAUCGAUGAAGAACGUAGCUAGAUGCGAUACUUAACGUGAAACGCAUGAUCAUUGAACGUCCAACUUUUGAAUGCAAAUUGCGUCAAUGGAGUCAAAUUCAUUGACACGUCUGGUUCAGGGUCUUUUCCAAAAAUUGCAUAGCACUUUGUGCGCAAUUCAAUUCUCUCUGAUCAUGUUUGUUGUUCAGAAAUGACAUUGUAGAGUGUGACUGUUGUUUCGAAUGUUUUGGCGGAAAACAUAUGGGUUUCCAAAUGCCUGUGUAUUUCGCAUCAGUCAUACUAUAUGAAUGUAUAUGAAUUUUUGACCUGAACUCGGUCGUGAGCACCCGCUGAACUUAAGCAUAU
This 664-nucleotide ribosomal RNA is filed under the name Meloidogyne aberrans. Its description in RNAcentral is "eukaryotic LSU rRNA". The stretch from base 290 to 443 matches the Rfam family "5.8S ribosomal RNA". The record is from RNAcentral. Lineage: Eukaryota; Metazoa; Nematoda; Chromadorea; Rhabditida; Meloidogynidae.